GAUGAACGCUGGCGGCGUGCCUAAUACAUGCAAGUCGAGCGAACGGACGAGAAGCUUGCUUCUCUGAUGUUAGCGGCGGACGGGUGAGUAACGCGUGGAUAACCUACCUAUAAGACUGGGAUAACUUCGGGAAACCGGAGCUAAUACCGGAUAAUAUUUUGAACCGCAUGGUUCAAAAGUAAAAGACGGUCUUGCUGUCACUUAUAGAUGGAUCCGCGCUGCAUUAGCUAGUUGGUAAGGUAACGGCUUACCAAGGCAACGAUGCAUAGCCGACCUGAGAGGGUGAUCGGCCACACUGGAACUGAGACACGGUCCAGACUCCUACGGGAGGCAGCAGUAGGGAAUCUUCCGCAAUGGGCGAAAGCCUGACGGGGCAACGCCGCGUGAGUGAUGAAGGUCUUCGGAUCGUAAAACUCUGUUAUUAGGGAAGAACAUAUGUGUAAGUAACUGUGCACAUCUUGACGGUACCUAAUCAGAAAGCCACGGCUAACUACGUG
Molecule: ribosomal RNA, 497 nt
Filed under: uncultured bacterium
Lineage: Bacteria
Description: partial 16S ribosomal RNA
Rfam family: Bacterial small subunit ribosomal RNA
Source: RNAcentral